Monodelphis domestica (gray short-tailed opossum) is the source of this 108-nucleotide small nuclear RNA. NCBI's taxonomy places the organism in Eukaryota, Metazoa, Chordata, Mammalia, Didelphimorphia, Didelphidae. The record is from Ensembl.
GUGGUUACUUUGGUAGCACAUACACUAAAAUUGGAACACUAUAGAGAAGAUUAGCAUGGCCCUUGGUGCAAGGAUGACAUGCACAUUUGUGAAGCAUCCCAUAUUUAA